This is a transfer RNA of Spizellomyces punctatus DAOM BR117, 82 nucleotides long. It matches the Rfam family "tRNA". From Rfam's summary of the family: Transfer RNA (tRNA) molecules are approximately 80 nucleotides in length. Their secondary structure includes four short double-helical elements and three loops (D, anti-codon, and T loops). Further hydrogen bonds mediate the characteristic L-shaped molecular structure. tRNAs have two regions of fundamental functional importance: the anti-codon, which is responsible for specific mRNA codon recognition, and the 3' end, to which the tRNAs corresponding amino acid is attached (by aminoacyl-tRNA synthetases). tRNAs cope with the degeneracy of the genetic code in two manners: having more than one tRNA (with a specific anti-codon) for a particular amino acid; and 'wobble' base-pairing, i.e. permitting non-standard base-pairing at the 3rd anti-codon position. The record is from Rfam. Lineage: Eukaryota; Fungi; Chytridiomycota; Chytridiomycetes; Spizellomycetales; Spizellomycetaceae.
GUCGGUGUGGCCGAGUGGUUAAGGCGUUGGACUUGAAAUCCAAUGGGCUCUGCCCGCACAGGUUCAAACCCUGUCGCCGACG